CCCGCGCGCCCUCGUCCAGCCAUGCUCUUCCCUGCUCGGUCCGGCAUGGAGGUUGGGAGCAGCCGCUGCGCUCGGGGCCGCACUGUAGAGCUGCUCCUUGCACGUCCGCCCUCAGCUUUCCAGCCACGCUCGCUCGUCCGGCCUCCUCUGCUCUUCCCCGGUGAGCCCCUGCAGAUCUCGCCCGCCAACGAGCUUCCUCAACGCGCGCAACCCCACCUUCGCACGACUCCCUUGGCUCGGUCGAGCAGGGCCAUGGCCAUGGCCAUCCUCUCCUACCCUUCCUCCAUUCUCUCUGUUCUAUCCCGAGGUGGAAGAAAGCCGAA
Molecule: unclassified non-coding RNA, 323 nt
Filed under: Zea mays
Lineage: Eukaryota; Viridiplantae; Streptophyta; Magnoliopsida; Poales; Poaceae
Description: misc RNA Zm00001eb096910
Source: RNAcentral